CUGUAAGCCUGUGAAGGUGGCCUGUGAGGGUUGCUGGAGGUAUCAGAAGUGCGAAUGCUGACAUAAGUAACGAUAAAGCGGGUGAAAAGCCCGCUCGCCGGAAGACCAAGGGUUCCUGUCCAACGUUAAUCGGGGCAGGGUGAGUCGACCCCUAAGGCGAGGCCGAAAGGCGUAGUCGAUGGGAAACGGGUUAAUAUUCCCGUACUUGGUGUUACUGCGAAGGGGGGACGGAGAAGGCUAUGUUGGCCGGGCGACGGUUGUCCCGGUUUAAGCGUGUAGGUGUGUGUUCCAGGUAAAUCCGGUUCACUUUAACACUGAGGCGUGAUGACGAGGCACUACGGUGCUGAAGCAACAAAUGCCCUGCUUCCAGGAAAAGCCUCUAAGCAUCAGGUAACAUCAAAUCGUACCCCAAACCGACACAGGUGGUCAGGUAGAGAAUACCAAGGCGCUUGAGAGAACUCGGGUGAAGGAACUAGGCAAAAUGGUGCCGUAACUUCGGGAGAAGGCACGCUGACAUGUAGGUGAAGUGAUUUACUCAUGGAGCUGAAGUCAGUCGAAGAUACCAGCUGGCUGCAACUGUUUAUUAAAAACACAGCACUGUGCA
RNAcentral lists this ribosomal RNA (604 nucleotides) under Salmonella enterica. RNAcentral's name for it is "partial 23S ribosomal RNA". It matches the Rfam family "Bacterial large subunit ribosomal RNA", at positions 1241 to 1827 of the family's 2925-position model. The record is from RNAcentral. Lineage: Bacteria; Pseudomonadati; Pseudomonadota; Gammaproteobacteria; Enterobacterales; Enterobacteriaceae.